RNAcentral lists this ribosomal RNA (253 nucleotides) under uncultured bacterium. RNAcentral's name for it is "partial 16S ribosomal RNA". It matches the Rfam family "Bacterial small subunit ribosomal RNA", at positions 524 to 776 of the family's 1533-position model. The record is from RNAcentral.
UACGAAGGGGGCUAGCGUUGUUCGGAAUCACUGGGCUUAAAGGGCGCGUAGGCGGUCGACCAAGUCAGGGGUGAAAUCCCGCAGCUUAACUGCGGAAGUGCCUUUGAUACUGGUCGUCUGGAGGGAGAUAGGGGUGUGUGGAACUUCCAGUGGAGCGGUGAAAUGCGUUGAUAUUGGAAGGAACGCCGGAGGCGAAAGCGACGCACUGGAUCUCUUCUGACGCUGAGGCGCGAAAGCUAGGGGAGCAAACGGG